RNAcentral lists this ribosomal RNA (301 nucleotides) under uncultured bacterium. RNAcentral's name for it is "partial 16S ribosomal RNA". It matches the Rfam family "Bacterial small subunit ribosomal RNA", at positions 509 to 809 of the family's 1533-position model. The record is from RNAcentral.
CAGCAGCCACGGUAAUACGAAGGGUGCAAGCGUUACUCGGAAUUACUGGGCGUAAAGCGCGCGUAGGUGGUUCGCCAAGUUGGAUGUGAAAUCCCCGGGCUCAACCUGGGAACUGCAUCCAAAACUGGCGAGCUAGAGUAUGGUAGAGGGUGGUGGAAUUUCCUGUGUAGCGGUGAAAUGCGUAGAUAUAGGAAGGAACAUCAGUGGCGAAGGCGACCACCUGGACUGAUACUGACACUGAGGUGCGAAAGCGUGGGGAGCAAACAAGAUUAGAUACCCCGGUAGUCCCUGUCUCUUAUAA